AGAGUUUGAUUCUGGCUCAGGAUGAACGCUGGCGGCGUGCUUAACACAUGCAAGUCGAACGGAAGUUUAACGCUGACGAGACUUCGGUCAAAUCUUGUUAAACUUAGUGGCGGACGGGUGAGUAACGCGUGGGUAACCUGCCGUAUGCAGGGGGACAACAGUUGGAAACGACUGCUAAUACCGCAUAAGCGCACGGUUUUGCAUGAAACAGUGUGAAAAGAUUUAUCGGCAUACGAUGGACCCGCGUUUGAUUAGCUAGUUGGUGAGGUAACGGCCCACCAAGGCUACGAUCAAUAGCCGGCCUGAGAGGGCAAUCGGCCACAUUGGGACUGAGACACGGCCCAAACUCCUACGGGAGGCAGCAGUGGGGAAUAUUGCACAAUGGGGGAAACCCUGAUGCAAGCGACGCCGCGUGAGUGAAGAAGUAUUUCGGUAUGUAAAGCUCUAUCAGCAGGGAAGAUGAUGACGGUACCUGACUAAGAAGCCCCGGCUAACUACGUGCCAGCCGCCGC
This 512-nucleotide ribosomal RNA is filed under the name uncultured bacterium. Its description in RNAcentral is "bacterial SSU rRNA". It matches the Rfam family "Bacterial small subunit ribosomal RNA", at positions 8 to 518 of the family's 1533-position model. The record is from RNAcentral.